UGGUUACAAUGUAAGGUUUCCCCCAAA
RNAcentral lists this non-coding RNA (27 nucleotides) under Mus musculus (house mouse). Lineage: Eukaryota; Metazoa; Chordata; Mammalia; Rodentia; Muridae. The record is from RNAcentral.